UACCCAGUUCCUGAGUUCCCCGACAAACAACGACGGGACUCUGUUUGAUCGGACCGGCCUGCAGGAGGAGGACUUUCAACAGACGAACCUCUGGACUUCGAACAUGGCGAGGUCGUACAGUCCUUAGUGCAAGAAACUUUGCAGGCUCCGGGAACGGUGGCCGCCGCUCUCCCCUCGCUAAAGUACCUACCUGGGUCUGGAACACUUACC
Molecule: ribosomal RNA, 210 nt
Filed under: Triticum aestivum (bread wheat)
Lineage: Eukaryota; Viridiplantae; Streptophyta; Magnoliopsida; Poales; Poaceae
Description: partial small subunit ribosomal RNA
Source: RNAcentral